Molecule: ribosomal RNA, 497 nt
Filed under: uncultured bacterium
Lineage: Bacteria
Description: partial 16S ribosomal RNA
Rfam family: Bacterial small subunit ribosomal RNA
Source: RNAcentral
GACGAACGCUGGCGGCGUGCCUAAUACAUGCAAGUUGAGCGCUGAAGGUUGGUACUUGUACCGACUGGAUGAGCAGCGAACGGGUGAGUAACGCGUGGGUAAUCUGCCUUUGAGCGGGGGACAACAUUUGGAAACGAAUGCUAAUACCGCAUAAAAACUUUAAACACAAGUUUUAAGUUUGAAAGAUGCAAUUGCAUCACUCAAAGAUGAUCCCGCGUUGUAUUAGCUAGGUGGUGAGGUAAAGGCUCACCAAGGCGAUGAUACAUAGCCGGCCUGAGAGGGGGGAUGGCCCAAAUGGGAACGGGAACAGGCUCCAGAUUCUUAGGGGAGGAGCAGGAGGGGAACUUUGGGCAUGGGGGAAAGGCUUGACGAACAAAGGCGGGUGGGUGAAUGAAGGUCUCGGAUCGGAAAAAUCCGUUGGUAGGGAAAGAAGAUGUGGAGAGUGGAAAGCUCAUAAAGUGACGGUAACUAACCAGAAAGGGACGGCUAACUACGUG